CCUACGGGGGGCAGCAGUGAGGAAUAUUGGUCAAUGGACGAGAGUCUGAACCAGCCAAGUCGCGUGAAGGAUGACUGCCCUAUGGGUUGUAAACUUCUUUUAUCUGGGAAUAAAACGUUCCACGUGUGGGAUUUUGUAUGUACCAUAUGAAUAAGGAUCGGCUAACUCCGUGCCAGCAGCCGCGGUAAUACGGAGGAUACGAGCGUUAUCCGGAUUUAUUGGGUUUAAAGGGUGCGGAGGUGGAUUGUUAAGUCAGUUGUGAAAGUUUGCGGCUCAACCGUAAAAUUGCAGUUGAAACUGGCAGUCUUGAGUACAGUAGAGGUAGGCGGAAUUCGUGGUGUAGCGGUGAAAUGCUUAGAUAUCACGAAGAACUCCGAUUGCGAAGGCAGUUCACUGGACUGCAACUGACACUGAGGCUCGAAAGUGUGGGUAUCAAACAGGAUUAGAUACCCGAGUAGUC
RNAcentral lists this ribosomal RNA (460 nucleotides) under uncultured bacterium. RNAcentral's name for it is "partial 16S ribosomal RNA". It matches the Rfam family "Bacterial small subunit ribosomal RNA", at positions 338 to 795 of the family's 1533-position model. The record is from RNAcentral.